RNAcentral lists this ribosomal RNA (278 nucleotides) under uncultured Prevotella sp. RNAcentral describes it as "partial 16S ribosomal RNA". It matches the Rfam family "Bacterial small subunit ribosomal RNA", at positions 79 to 354 of the family's 1533-position model. The record is from RNAcentral. Lineage: Bacteria; Pseudomonadati; Bacteroidota; Bacteroidia; Bacteroidales; Prevotellaceae.
CUUUCCUUGAUGACGACUGGCGCACGGGUGAGUAACGCGUAUCCAACCUUCCCAUAACUACGGGAUAACCCGUUGAAAGACGGCCUAAUACCGUAUGACAUCGUUUGCUGACAUCAAAUAACGAUUAAAGGUUUAGCGGUUAUGGAUGGGGAUGCGUCUGAUUAGCUUGUUGGCGGGGUAACGGCCCACCAAGGCGACGAUCAGUAGGGGUUCUGAGAGGAAGGUCCCCCCACAUUGGAACUGAGACACGGUCCAAACUCCUACGGGAGGCAGCAGGC